Pelobates cultripes (western spadefoot toad) is the source of this 330-nucleotide non-coding RNA. The record is from the annotation of a GenBank genome assembly. NCBI's taxonomy places the organism in Eukaryota, Metazoa, Chordata, Amphibia, Anura, Pelobatidae.
CUGAAAGCAAAAGGAGGGUGGGUGGGACAACAACAGGUAAGUGCAACUUAGAUUAAAAUGAUCCCUAGAUCUAAAAUGGCCACUACUUAUACUCCCCCUUUUAACUCCACCCCACCAUUUCCUAAGACCAAUCCCUGACCACUGACCUUUAGAUGGCCUGUUUCCUGGCAAUGUCAAGGCCCACUCCCCUUAGCUACGCUGCUCCAUGGGCUACAAUAAGCUUAGGCAGCAGUUCCUGAAAGAAAUGAAUGCUCAGUGAAUGUAUAUGCGUCAUAUCUACUGAAAACAAUAGGAGCAUCAGGAUUGGCUGAGCUGCUUCCUGGUUUCAGG